UACAGAGGGGGCAAGCGUUGUUCGGAAUUACUGGGCGUAAAGGGCGCGUAUGCGGCCUGCUAAGUCGAACGUGAAAUCCCCGGGCUCAACCCGGGAACUGCGUCCGAUACUGGAAGGCUUGAAUCCGGGAGAGGGAUGCGGAAUUCCAGGUGUAGCGGUGAAAUGCGUAGAUAUCUGGAGGAACACCGGUGGCGAAGGCGGCAUCCUGGACCGGCAUUGACGCUGAGGCGCGAAAGCCAGGGGAGCAAACGGG
Molecule: ribosomal RNA, 253 nt
Filed under: uncultured bacterium
Lineage: Bacteria
Description: partial 16S ribosomal RNA
Rfam family: Bacterial small subunit ribosomal RNA
Source: RNAcentral